AUUUAUAUAAUAUAUUUAGUAUAUUUGAUUUCCAACCAAAAAGUUUAAUUUAAUUUAAUAUAAAUA
This 66-nucleotide transfer RNA is filed under the name Papilio demoleus (lime butterfly). RNAcentral describes it as "tRNA-Gly". Lineage: Eukaryota; Metazoa; Arthropoda; Insecta; Lepidoptera; Papilionidae. The record is from RNAcentral.